RNAcentral lists this long non-coding RNA (1326 nucleotides) under Trifolium pratense (red clover). RNAcentral's name for it is "long non-coding RNA (TPRA_LNC000380)". The record is from RNAcentral. Lineage: Eukaryota; Viridiplantae; Streptophyta; Magnoliopsida; Fabales; Fabaceae.
CUUGGGAUUUUGGAUAGUGUUAGUUUUUGUGUAUAUGGUAUCAGGAAUGUAUGUAUGAAUGAAGCAAGGAUGAGGAACUCGUGACAACUUCCUUUGGCACCACAAUCUGCAAUUGGCUGCUGUUGAUGUGCUUUCAUUUGGUUAUCUCUACUCUGACUAUGCACUCUUCAUGUUUCUUUGUAUAUUUUGAGGAUAUAGUUUUCUUUGAUUCCAAGGACUUGUUUGUGCUUUGGUGUUACAGAGGAGAGAGCUGUGAAUGUACUGUUGGAUUUGAAAGUUUUGAGCCUUUGGAUUCAACGGGUUACUUUUUCCUUGAGUGUUUGUUCUGGAAUAGGUGUCCUAUUAUGAUGCGGCAGUGCUGGUAUUUAUUUAUGUUUAGAAUUAUGAAUCUAAGCAUUAGCAGUGCAUCUAUUUUCUUGUAUAAUCAAGAUAUAAGUUUGUUUUGCAGUGACUUGAACGUUUGUAGAUAUUUUGAUACAUUUCGUAUUGAUGAUAAUCGAUAAGAAUGAUAAUGGCUACAGAUACAUAGAUCAAGUUUCUUCAAUGAAGUCGUUCUUUAUUAUUUUUAUUUUUGCGCUUCCAUUGUAAGAUACAAAUUGAAUUGUGAACUUGUUUUUCUGCAGUGUGGUUUUUCAAAAUAAUGAUGUUCAUUCAUCAUAGCAUGGGAGCCUCAAGUUUUGGUUUGCCUAUUUCUUUUUAAAACAUAUUUUUUCGAUACUUUAUUCCCUUUGGUGAUGCAGGGACGAUAAUAAUUUUCUUUCUCUUGUUUGAUCUUCCGGUUUUGUAUUCUGAUUAUUUUCUCUGGUAUUUUGAUUGUGAGGUUUGAUUUGAUUCUGGCUUUAAUGCAUGUUAUUUUCUGCGGUGCAGUGUGUUUUGAAACAAUAACAUUUUAUUAGCAUCAAGCCUCAGGUUUUAUUCUGGUCUAUUCUGAUCUUGAUUUCAGGGAUCGCUGUUCUCGUUUUCUAUGAUCCGUCGCUGUAAACGCAUUGAUAUGGUUUUUUCAGAUAGUGGAUAUCAAGAAUUUCACACUAUCACACACCUCUAUUCACUCUUUUACGCAUCAUCGGUUAUUUCAAUAAUUUUGGAUACAAUUCUUCAUUUGAUAAUGAGACGUGCAUUUAUCCGUUUUGCUUUUACAGUGAGCUGAAAAGUUUUGGUGUCUAUGUAGAGCGACUUGAUGCAAUAGACAAGAUUGGAGAACGGUCCCGGAUAGAUAAAUCAAAUUUUUUCAAUGAAUAUCUUUUUACUAUUUUUUAGAAUUUGAUUUUAAGCAAAUUGAAUUAAGACCAUAUUUUUAUGCAGCGUGAUUUGUCAAAGAUGGAGCCC